This 1094-nucleotide long non-coding RNA is filed under the name Homo sapiens (human). RNAcentral describes it as "HSALNT0312910". Lineage: Eukaryota; Metazoa; Chordata; Mammalia; Primates; Hominidae. The record is from RNAcentral.
CUGCAGUGUUCUGCGAGUGUCUUAGAGGGCGAUGGUGCCCAUUCCGUCACAGUGAUCCAGAGCUGCUGAAGCAAAAGUUGCAGUCAUACAAGAUCUCUCCUGGAGGGAUAAGCCAGAUUUUGGAUUUAGUAAAGGGGACACAUUACCAGGUAGCCUGUCAAAAAUACUUUGAGAUGAUACACAAUGUGGAUGAUUGUGGCUUUUCUUUGAAUCAUCCUAAUCAGUUCUUUUGUGAGAGCCAAAGUAUUCUAAAUGGUGGUAAAGACAUAAAGAAGGAACCUAUCCAACCAGAAACUCCUCAACCCAAACCAAGUGUCCAGAAAACCAAGGAUGCAUCAUCUGCUCUGGCCUCUUUAAAUUCCUCUCUGGAAAUGGAUAUGGAAGGACUAGAAGAUUACUUUAGUGAAGAUUCUUAGGCAGUUUUCUAACCCAUUUUCCUCAAUAGCCUGUUUCCUGUUUUUAAGAUUUUGCCUUUGUUGUUGAAAAAGGGUUUCACUCUGUCACCAAGGCUUAGUGCAGUGACACAAUUACAGCUGAUUGCAGCCUUGACCUUCCCAGCUCAGGUGAUCCUGCUACCUCAGCCUCCCAAGUAGUUGGGACCACAGGUGUGUACCCCAUAUCCAACUAAUUUUUUUCAAUUUUUUUUUGUAGAGGUGAGGGUCUCCCUAUGUUGCCCAGGCAGAUCUCAGACUCCUGGACUCAAGCGAUCCUCACACCUCAGCCUCCCAGAGUGCUGGGAUUACAGUUGUGAGCCACUGUGCCUGGUCUUUCUUUUUUUAACCUUUUUGUUUAACUUCUCUCUUCAUUGCAUCCCAAUCCAUCUACAGGCAUGCACACUUAUUAGGAAAGCAGGUUUGAGGUAACAACAGAGACUUUCACUAUAUUUUACUUUGACAGAAGGAAAGAGGAAGAGUUUCUAUUAAAAUCUGUCAUUUGAGUGAUGUCAUUUAAGUCCUAUUUUAGGAGAUAAAAACAGCUUUGGGGACUGGUUAAAGUCCCCCAGAAACUACAAUAAAGAAUAACUUUUGUUUUAACUCUUAAUCACUUUGUAAUUUUGACUCAAUCCUUUUCUGGACCAUUUUUGUUAAUAAAUG